Molecule: non-coding RNA, 256 nt
Organism: Pelobates cultripes (western spadefoot toad)
Lineage: Eukaryota; Metazoa; Chordata; Amphibia; Anura; Pelobatidae
Source: the annotation of a GenBank genome assembly
UGAAUUGGUAAAAGGUCGCAUUUAGUUAGGUUCGCCUGAAAGUUGGAGACUUUACCAUAUGUUUCCAUCUCCGCUAUUACAUAGGGUAAUGUCGAGAGCGGGUUCGCAAUUGUGAACAAAAGGUCAUCGGCAAAUGCCGUGACUUUGUACUCCUGUUUGUCAAUCUCAAAGCCCUGUAUGUUGUUAUUGUCUCUAAUACCCUGAAGGAAAGGUUCCAGGAAUAGUAUGAAGAGAAUAGGGGAAAGAGGACAUCCUU